RNAcentral lists this non-coding RNA (25 nucleotides) under Cricetulus griseus (Chinese hamster). The record is from RNAcentral. Lineage: Eukaryota; Metazoa; Chordata; Mammalia; Rodentia; Cricetidae.
UUUUUUGGUCAAGAGGGGAUGAACA